This 496-nucleotide ribosomal RNA is filed under the name uncultured bacterium. RNAcentral's name for it is "partial 16S ribosomal RNA". It matches the Rfam family "Bacterial small subunit ribosomal RNA", at positions 30 to 523 of the family's 1533-position model. The record is from RNAcentral.
AUUGAACGCUGGCGGCAUGCUUUACACAUGCAAGUCGAACGGUAGAGGGGGCAACCCCUUGAGAGUGGUGAACGGGUGAGUAAUGCAUCGGAACGUGCCCAGUCGUGGGGGAUAACGCAGCGAAAGCUGUGCUAAUACCGCAUACGAUCUCUGGAUGAAAGCGGGGGACCGAAAGGCCUCGCGCGAUUGGAGCGGCCGAUGUCAGAUUAGGUAGUUGGUGGGGUAAAGGCUCACCAAGCCAACGAUCUGUAGCUGGUCUGAGAGGACGACCAGCCACACUGGGACUGAGACACGGCCCAGACUCCUACGGGAGGCAGCAGUGGGGAAUUUUGGACAAUGGGCGCAAGCCUGAUCCAGCAAUGCCGCGUGCAGGAAGAAGGCCUUCGGGUUGUAAACUGCUUUUGUACGGAACGAAACGGUGAGCUCUAAUACGAGGUGAGGAUGACGGUACCUUGAUAAGAAGCACCGGCUAACUACGUGCCAGCCGCCGCCGUAA